RNAcentral lists this small nuclear RNA (68 nucleotides) under Leishmania enriettii. It matches the Rfam family "U2 spliceosomal RNA", at positions 1 to 67 of the family's 192-position model. Rfam says of the family: U2 is a small nuclear RNA (snRNA) component of the spliceosome (involved in pre-mRNA splicing). Complementary binding between U2 snRNA (in an area lying towards the 5' end but 3' to hairpin I) and the branchpoint sequence (BPS) of the intron results the bulging out of an unpaired adenosine, on the BPS, which initiates a nucleophilic attack at the intronic 5' splice site, thus starting the first of two transesterification reactions that mediate splicing. The record is from RNAcentral. Lineage: Eukaryota; Euglenozoa; Kinetoplastea; Trypanosomatida; Trypanosomatidae.
AUAUCUUCUCGGCUUUUUUAGCUAAGAUCAUGUUUAUAAACUGUUCUUAUCNNAGUAACUCCUGAUAC